Molecule: ribosomal RNA, 386 nt
Filed under: Wuchereria bancrofti
Lineage: Eukaryota; Metazoa; Nematoda; Chromadorea; Rhabditida; Onchocercidae
Description: partial 12S ribosomal RNA
Source: RNAcentral
UUUUAACUCUAUUUAUUGUUGUGUCUUUUUUUCUUUUAUUAUUUUUUAUAUUUAUUUUUGUAAAAUGUUUUAGUUUUUUUAUUUUUUGAAAAGACACUCAAAAUUUGGUUUUUGAACUGGAUUAGUACCCAGGUAAUCAAAGUUUAUUAAUUCGGGAGUAAAGUUUUGUUUAAACCGAAAAAAUAUUGACUGACUUUAAAUUUCUCUUUGGAACAUGCGUAUGGAGAGCCCUCCUUUUUGGUUAAUCUUGUUGGCACAUGUAUGAUUGUUUAGUUUUUAUUUUUUUUUGUAAGGCUUUUUUUGUUUUGCCAUUAAAAACAGAUAUAUAUUUGGCUUAAGGAUUUGUUAUCGUGUGUUACAUAAUUAUUAAUUUUUUUUUAAAUAAA